GUGGGGAAUAUUGGACAAUGGGCGAAAGCCUGAUCCAGCCAUGCCGCGUGUGUGAAGAAGGUCUUCGGAUUGUAAAGCACUUUAAGUUGAGAGGAAGGGCAGUAAGUUAAUACCUUGCUGUUUUGACGUUACCAACAGAAUAAGCACCGGCUAACUUCGUGCCAGCAGCCGCGGUAAUACGAAGGGUGCAAGCGUUAAUCGGAAUUACUGGGCGUAAAGCGCGCGUAGGUGGUUCAGCAAGUUGAAGGUGAAAUCCCCGGGCUCAACCUGGGAACUGCCUCCAAAACUACUGAGCUAGAGUACGGUAGAGGGUAGUGGAAUUUCCUGUGUAGCGGUGAAAUGCGUAGAUAUAGGAAGGAACACCAGUGGCGAAGGCGACUACCUGGACUGAUACUGACACUGAGGUGCGAAAGCGUGGGGAGCAAACAGGAUUAGAAACCCGGGUAGUCC
RNAcentral lists this ribosomal RNA (450 nucleotides) under uncultured bacterium. Its description in RNAcentral is "bacterial SSU rRNA". It matches the Rfam family "Bacterial small subunit ribosomal RNA", at positions 354 to 796 of the family's 1533-position model. The record is from RNAcentral.